ACCCCACCCCAACCCCCUGUCUCCUCUGACUGCUCCAUGCUGCCUCUGGGUCGCUCUCCUUCUCUCUGUUUCUGGGCCAAACACAGCUGAAUGCUGACUGGCAAAAUCAGCAGAGAACUUCCACAGCUAACUUUACUAACUUCACAGGGAAACAUCUAACCUCUCCAAGAUACCGCCCUUACUACCUCCCUACAGGGGUACCAGUGCUGAGCUGAAUGGAUCACACUCAACACACACAGCACACUCAACACACACAGGCACACCCAAAAGGUAGAGAAGAUGGAGAUGAGAAAAUAGGGUUUGUUUUCUGUCUGUCUGAGAGAUUGUUGUUCUAAUCUCUUUCUUUCUGUCUGUCUUUAUCUCUCUCUGGCUAUCCAUCUCGCUCUCUUUCUCUCUCUUUCUCUAUCUCAUAGGAGGAACUGAAGAGCCUCCAGACUGGCCUGAAGCAUGUCAAUGAUGAAAGUGUUCAACUGCAGAGUCACCAGCUGACUACAGACCUUGAGAACAACUUCAACAUGCCCCCAAUGAAGACCAAGGUGUUGAUUAUCCAGCGCGCUUGGCGUGACUUCCUCCAGAGACAGGAAUUGAUGGAGAAGAGGAGCCCCUCCCCUCCCUCCCUCUCCUCCUCUGACAAGAUGAGCACGUCCAUCAGCAUGACCACUCUAUCAGAUGGCAUCACCCCUGUAAGUCCCACCCCUCUAUCUUUGCUCUGAGUACAGCAGGUGAACUGUCUAUGUUAUUGUGUAGGGUACACUUUACUAAGGCAAACACAUGGUGUGGGUCAGAUGGAAUGGUGUGUUCUUUUUCAAUACAUUUUCAAUACUAGCCCUAAGGAU
Molecule: long non-coding RNA, 836 nt
Filed under: Oncorhynchus mykiss (rainbow trout)
Lineage: Eukaryota; Metazoa; Chordata; Actinopteri; Salmoniformes; Salmonidae
Description: lncRNA (ENSOMYG00000069419.1)
Source: RNAcentral